Molecule: ribosomal RNA, 254 nt
Filed under: uncultured bacterium
Lineage: Bacteria
Description: partial 16S ribosomal RNA
Rfam family: Bacterial small subunit ribosomal RNA
Source: RNAcentral
UACGGGGGGGGCAAGCGUUGUUCGGAAUUACUGGGCGUAAAGGGCUCGUAGGCGGCCAACUAAGUCGGACGUGAAAUCCCUCGGCUUAACCGGGGAACUGCGUCCGAUACUGGAUGGCUUGAGUGUGGGAGAGGGAUGCGGAAUUCCAGGUGUAGCGGUGAAAUGCGUAGAUAUCUGGAGGAACACCGGUGGCGAAGGCGGCAUCCUGGACUACUACUGACGCUGAGGGAGCGAAAGCCAGGGGAGCAAGCGGG